GAUGAACGCUAGCUACAGGCUUGACACAUGCAAGUCGAGGGGUAACGAGAGGAAAGCUUGCUUUCCUUGUCGACGACCGGCGCACGGGUGAGUAACGCGUAUCCAACCUGCCCCCAACUAGGGAAUAACCUUGCGAAAGUAAGACUAAUACCCUAUAAUUUCCUCAGAUGUCAUCUGACGAGGAAUAAAGAUUUAUCGGUUGUGGAUGGGGAUGCGUCUGAUUAGCUUGUUGGCGGGGUAACGGCCCACCAAGGCAGCGAUCAGUAGGGGUUCUGAGAGGAAGGUCCCCCACAUUGGAACUGAGACACGGUCCAAACUCCUACGGGAGGCAGCAGUGAGGAAUAUUGGUCAAUGGGCGGAAGCCUGAACCAGCCAAGUAGCGUGCAGGAUGACGGCCCUAUGGGUUGUAAAUUGCUUUUAUACAGGAAUAAAGUUAGCCACGUGUGGUUAUUUGUAGGUACUGUAUGAAUAAGGACCGGCUAAUUCCGUGCCAGCCGCCGCCGUAA
RNAcentral lists this ribosomal RNA (506 nucleotides) under uncultured bacterium. RNAcentral describes it as "partial 16S ribosomal RNA". It matches the Rfam family "Bacterial small subunit ribosomal RNA", at positions 28 to 523 of the family's 1533-position model. The record is from RNAcentral.